CAGGGGAGGAGAAGAAGGAGGGGGAGGAGAGACCGGCAACCAUCUUUCCCCAGAACCUUGGUAACAAAGGGGGAUCCCUACAAAGGCAGAGAAAGACCCCCCUCUCCUCUCGGGGUGACCCGAGCACCUCCCUCCCCGCUGACAUCCAGAUUCGGUUCGAGCGCAGUAUACUUUUUAAAAAAAUGUACGUGCAAAUGCAAAAUGGGACGAAACAAUGUGUGGGGAGCGGAGACCCUGCGCCCCCUACAGGGCAAAGGUCCUCAAAUCCCCCCCCCCCCGCAACCUAUGGCCAGCCCUAGGGGGCGUUCCCGAAAGCAGCGAACAGCCAAAACAAAACCUGUAGUAGUUAAUCCGGAACUAAUAAUGAAAUAAAAUAAUAAUCGCUCAGUCGCACAACCGAUCCCGUCUCCCCUUGCAGUAAUCUCAGCGAGGAUUACAGAGCUCCAGUUAAGCGCCAGGCUCAGCUCAGGCACAGAAGAAGCAGCUAUUUUGGAAUGGGAGCCCCGGAAAACGUGGAAGAGGCGGCACCGCCGAGCAUGUGCAAAAUGCAUUUCCGCUCAGCUGUUAGCAACCGGAGCCCAUCUCCACAAACCUUGGGAUUAGGUAGCAGGCAGCGCUUGAUCUUUAAAAUAGUUAACUACAGGGUACCAAUUAUCCCCCCCCCUAUGAUGAACCUGGGUCAACAUAAAAGAUCCAGAGUCAGAUUUCAACUUAACCAUCAACUCGCUGAAUGCUGCCAAGCAUGUCUCUCUGGUCUGCAGCUUCAAUCUGCCCAUCAAAACUUGCAGUCAGAUGAGACAAGAAAAAUCCCUCUUUGCAAUGCAUGUUUAUUCAGAGGGAAGGAGGCAGAGAUUGAGGGAGAGAACUGAAAAACCAAGGCCCAGAAUAUCCUGGGCAGGGAGGCAAUUCUCUGGGAGACCCAUCCCUUGGGCUUUCCAAAGGAGGUUUGUUUGGACCCUUCUUUUCUUGAUGCUUGGUGGGACUCUUUUUGAGGUUGUUCUAUUUUAUAAAUUAGAGCCUCUGUUUUAGUGCUGUUUUAUUACUGCUAUGGAUUUGCUGCUGUUGCUUUUGAACUGUAGUUUUGUAUGUGUUAUAUAUACAAAACUAGUCUUGUGUGUGUGUGUGUGUCUGU
Molecule: long non-coding RNA, 1132 nt
Organism: Podarcis raffonei (Aeolian wall lizard)
Lineage: Eukaryota; Metazoa; Chordata; Lepidosauria; Squamata; Lacertidae
Exons: 3
Source: RefSeq, a predicted model, not a curated record